Molecule: unclassified non-coding RNA, 223 nt
Filed under: plant metagenome
Description: partial contains small subunit ribosomal RNA, internal transcribed spacer 1, and 5.8S ribosomal RNA
Source: RNAcentral
UUUCCGUAGGUGAACCUGCGGAAGGAUCAUUAAAGAGCAUAUGCCCUUCGGGGUAGAUCUCCCACCCUUUGUUUAUAUUACCUUUGUUGCUUUGGCAGGCCCGUCUUCGGACCACCGGCUUCGGCUGGUCAGUGCUUGCCAGAGGACCCAAAACUCUUAUUAUUAAUGUCGUCUGAGUACUAUAUAAUAGUUAAAACUUUCAACAACGGAUCUCUUGGUUCUG